This 65-nucleotide transfer RNA is filed under the name Gymnopleurus mopsus. Its description in RNAcentral is "tRNA-Leu". Lineage: Eukaryota; Metazoa; Arthropoda; Insecta; Coleoptera; Scarabaeidae. The record is from RNAcentral.
UCUAAUAUGGCAGAUUAGUGCGGUGAAUUUAAGCUUCACAUAUAAAGUUUAACCUUUUUUUAGAA